AAAAAAAAAAAAAGUUUUUCAUCCUCUUUCUUCCCUUGCCAGACCGCCCUUCUCGGUACAUCUCGUCUUUUAUCUGUCCAAUCAAUCCUUACUAAAAAACAAAAAUAAUAAAUAUAUAUAAAAAAAAUCCGCUUUGUAAUCUCUUUUCUAGGGUUCCUCUCUCUUCUACUUGUCUCAACAAUUUUGACUUGAACAAAACCAGCCUAUUUCCUUAACCAUGAAGUAAUACUGUACAGAUCUUCUCUCCUCCUCCAAACCCUAUUUCAUUGUAAACGGUUUUUGCUUUUUAAACCCUUUUCUGAUUUUCCCUUUCCCUUUUUGAUUCGUUCUCCGUUUACUUUUUUUACAGUUCAGAUUUUAGAUUUUCAAAGAAACCAUUAGAUUGAUUAGUUAUUAGGGUUUUUCGUUUUGGGUUUCCCUUUUGAAUGGUAAUUUUCAAGUGUAGAUAAAAUGGAUGCUUCGGAGAAUCUUAACCAAUUUGGCGAUAAUUCUACAGGAGAUGCAGUAUUUGAUGCAUCACAAUAUGCAUUUUUCGGAAAAGAUGUUCUCGAGGAAGUUGAAUUGGGGGGAUUAGAUGAUGAUGAUGAGGAUUUGCACACAGCCAGACUUGAUGAGGAGGAGUUUUUGUUUAAUCAAGAGGAGGGUGAAGUUUUGAGAUCCUUAUCAGAAAUUGAUGAUCUUGCUAGUACAUUUUCAAAGUUGAACACCGCUGUUAGUGGACCAAGAGGCUCAGGGAUAAUUGGUGAUAGGGGAUCCAGAGAAAGCUCAUCUGUUGCCAAAUGGGCACAUGGGGAGGAAUUUCCUUACCUGCUUGAUCAGCAGGCUCUUGAAACUGAAAGUAUUCCUGAAGGCAAACGCUGGUCAUCACAACCAUUGCCUAAUUUGGACUCAAAGCAUCUCUACAGGACAUCCUCAUACCCCGAGCAGCAGCAGGAAGAACAACACCACCAUCAACAUUUCUCUAGCGAACCAAUUCUGGUUCCAAACUCUUCUUACACUUCAUACCCUCCCCCUGUUGUCAGAUCUCCUCAAGAUUCACCAAACCAACAUUCUGCUUACCUGAAUGUUCCAUAUGUGGCUGGUGGAUCACAGAUGGCAUCUUUGCCAAAUCUCUCUGACUUCUCUAAUUCUCAGCUUCAAAAGCCAGGUUUACAUCAUGGGUCACAUUAUGGUGAGAAUAUGCCUCAGUUCGCACCUGGUCUGUCUGUCAAUAGUCGGCUGUCAAAUCAAUGGGGGAGUCAGCCAAAAUUAUAUGGUGGAGAUAAUUCCAGUGUUUUGAACAAUAUGUUGCAACAACAGUUAUCUCAUCAAAAUGGUUUGGUUCUGCCACAAUUAUUGCCACAGCUGCAGGCGCACCAGCAGAGACUGCCUCAUCCUGUUCAGCCAUCAUUUAGUCAUUUGUCAGGGAUUCAGCCACAACUAUUUAAUCCUCAUCUUUCUUCGUCCCCUCCUCUAAUGAACAAGCUUGAAGCUAUACUUGGUAUCGGUGAACUGAGAGAUCAAAGACUGAAAUCUGCUCAGAAAGGUAGGCAGAAUCCACGAUUUUCUCAGCAGGGCUUUGAUAGCAGUGGACUGAAGAGUGAUAUUGGAUGGCCUCAAUUUAGAUCCAAAUACAUGUCAACUGAUGAGAUCGAGGGCAUUGUUAGGAUGCAGCUUGCUGCAACUCACAGUAAUGACCCUUAUGUGGAUGAUUAUUACCACCAGGCUUGUCUUGCAGGAAAAUCUGCUGGGGCAAAGUUGAGACAUCAUUUUUGCCCAACUCAUCUUAGGGAUCUUCCUCCCCGAGCACGUGCAAAUACUGAGCCACAUGCUUUUCUCCAGGUUGAUGCUCUUGGGAGGGUUCCUUUUUCUUCAAUUCGCAGGCCUCGCCCUCUUCUUGAAGUUGACCCUCCAAAUUCAUCUGCUGUCGCCAACAAUGAUCAUAAAGCUUCUGAUAUGCCCCUGGAACAGGAACCAAUGCUUGCUGCUAGAGUUACAAUAGAGGAUGGUCUAUGCCUUCUUCUUGAUGUGGAUGAUAUUGAUCGGUUUUUACAGUUUAAUCAGUUGCAGGAUGGUGGAGCACAGCUGAGACAAAGACGACAGGUUUUGUUGGAAGGGCUGGCUGCUUCACUGCAAUUGGUUGACCCACUUGGCAAGAAUGGCCUCACAGAUGAGCUUGCCCAAAAGGAUGAUCUUGUGUUUUUACGGAUAGUUUCCCUUCCCAAAGGCCGGAAGCUGCUUGCAAGGUACCUUCAGUGUCUUUUUCCAGAUGGUGAGCUUAUGCGAGUUGUCUGCAUGGCCAUUUUCCGUCAUUUAAGGUUCUUGUUUGGAGGCCUUCCCUCUGAUCCAGGAGCAGCAGAAACUACUAAUAACCUUGCAAGAGUUGUUUCCUCGUGUGUUCAUGGCAUGGAUCUUCAUGCACUUAGUGUCUGUCUUGCAGCUGUGGUUUGUUCUUCAGAGCAGCCCCGUCUUCGUCCUCUUGGAAGUUCCGCUGGAGAUGGUGCAUCUUUUAUUCUGAAGUCUGUUCUUGAUAGGGCAACAAAACUCAUGAUUGAUUUUAGAGCUGCUGGCAAUUACAAUAUGACCAAUCAGUCCCUUUGGAAGGCCUCAUUUGAUGAAUUUUUUAACCUUCUUACCAAGUAUUGCAUAAACAAAUAUGAUACCGUGAUGCAGUCCUUGCGUAUGCAGGUCAAACCAAAUAUGGCAAUUGAUGAAUCAGAUGCUACCAAAGCGAUUAAAAGAGAAAUGCCAAUUGAUCUUUUACGUGCAUGUUUACCCCACAUUAAUGAUCAGCAGAAAAAGCAGAUAUGGCAUCUUUCUCAGCUGUCUAUGCUUGUAGGACAGUCAUGAUAAAAAAGUGGUAGCUAGGAGACGUUUAAAUUGAUACAUGUUUGAGACAACCAUGUUGAAGUACAAUAUGGAGCAAGUGAUGCCAUGUGCUGAUGGAAUGCAAUUAGCUAUACCAUUUCACCGUUAUAACUAUGAUGGAGCACCCUCAAUGGUUCAGGUGAAGCUCCAAGGAUAUUUAAAGUAAAGUGAAAUUUCUGGUAUGGAGAUGUAGUGGGAUAGUAAGUAUCGGGUUCAGUACAGAAGAUUUCCCGCGUUCUGACUAUUAUUUUCCAAGGAGGUGGGAUGGAUCAUGUCAAGUUCCUGUUGGAAUAGUCAGUGUGUAAUAUAGCAGACACUGAUUAAAGGCAUGAAGAUGUUUCUUGUAGCUUGCUGGAGGGUCUCAGAGAGUUGCUUUUUGAGCUAAAAUGUUGAAAUUUAGCUUUAAUAUUUGGUAACGUUGUUGCCUUUGAUUUGAUCGUUUUGUUCUUCCGCAAAGUUAUUGUUUUUAGUCUUUUUCAUUUUAUCAAAGAAAGACUGUUCAUAUCUCAGUGCUGCAUUUGGGCAUGGGUAUUGAUGUCAAGGCCAUAAUUCUUUGGAGCCUUUCAAUGCCUGCCCUGAACUAAAGUGUUAUAUGUCAUUUGAAGUUCUAGGGUGAAAGGAUGAUUUUACCCUUUUAUUUUCUUUGGCAUUUCUGUUAACAUUCAGGUGCAGUUAGCAAUUUGUGUAUUAAUGUCGUCUCAUAUAAAAUGUGUAAAAUAUAAAAAUUAUUAUGUCAUAA
This is a non-coding RNA of Durio zibethinus, 3586 nucleotides long. The record is from RefSeq and is a predicted model, not a curated record. Lineage: Eukaryota; Viridiplantae; Streptophyta; Magnoliopsida; Malvales; Malvaceae.